RNAcentral lists this transfer RNA (67 nucleotides) under Batrachoseps attenuatus (California slender salamander). Its description in RNAcentral is "tRNA-His". It matches the Rfam family "tRNA". Rfam says of the family: Transfer RNA (tRNA) molecules are approximately 80 nucleotides in length. Their secondary structure includes four short double-helical elements and three loops (D, anti-codon, and T loops). Lineage: Eukaryota; Metazoa; Chordata; Amphibia; Caudata; Plethodontidae. The record is from RNAcentral.
GUAUAUAUAGUUUAAAAAACCCUAGAUUGUGAUUCUAGAAAUGAAAGUUAAACCCUUUCUAUAAACC